UACGGAGGAUGCGAGCGUUAUCCGGAUUUAUUGGGUUUAAAGGGUGCGCAGGCGGCACGGCAAGCCGGCGGUCAAAUCGCGGGGCUCAACCCCGCCCAGCCGUCGGAACUGCCGGGCUAGAGUGGGCGAGAAGUGCGCGGAAUGCGUGGUGUAGCGGUGAAAUGCAUAGAUAUCACGCAGAACUCCGAUUGCGAAGGCAGCGCACCGGCGCCCUACUGGCGCUCAGGCACGAAAGCGUGGGUAUCGAACAGG
RNAcentral lists this ribosomal RNA (252 nucleotides) under uncultured bacterium. RNAcentral describes it as "partial 16S ribosomal RNA". It matches the Rfam family "Bacterial small subunit ribosomal RNA", at positions 524 to 776 of the family's 1533-position model. The record is from RNAcentral.